This is an RNA transcript of Falco peregrinus (peregrine falcon), 2136 nucleotides long. It is a transcript of the gene named cilia- and flagella- associated protein 210-like, with no coding region annotated. The record is from RefSeq and is a predicted model, not a curated record. The transcript has 8 exons. Lineage: Eukaryota; Metazoa; Chordata; Aves; Falconiformes; Falconidae.
AGGACGGCGGCCGCCGCCUUUGUUCCCUGUUCCGGCGCGGAGGAGCGAGCACCGGUGCAGCCGGGCUGUCGGUGAGGCACCGUCUCUCUUAGCAGACGUCGCCGCUUCCAGGCGAGGCGGGCGCGGGGCCGGCGAUGGACGGCGAGGAGCCGGGCGCCGCCCGCCGGGAAGCAGAGCUGGAGCGCAGCCGUUACAGGGACCGCCGGGCCGUGGCCCAGGAGCAGCUGGCGCAAAUAGAAGAGCACAAGCAUCAGGCAGCUCUGGCCAAGCUAGAAGAUAAGAGAGAAGGGGAAAAAAUACAGAGAUUGAACCAAUUGUACCAACUGGAAAUUCAGAGAGGAAAAGAAAAGGAACAGGAGGGAAAAGCUGAACUCCAGAGGCAGCAUCAUGAGUAUGUAGCUGAACAGAAAAUAAUUAAAGCUGAAGAGAAGGAAAAAGAAGAUGAAGACAAUGAUCGGAUUAAGGCUUAUAUUAAAGGAAAAGAAAUGAUGGCUGAUCUGACAAGAGAAAAAGUUGCAGAGACUAAUAGGCUAAUGCAGGAGCACAAGGACAAAGCUUUUGAACAACUAGCUGCACAGAUGAAUAAAGCAUUUAAGAUUGAAGAUGAUCGUCUUGCUAGAGGAGCUGCAGAGGUAGAAGAUGAAUAUCAAAUUAAAAACAAAGAGAAAGAAGCAAAAAAAAAGGCUGCCAUUGAAUCUAUCGCUGAACACAGAACCGCUGUGAUGAAGAUGAAAGUAGAAAAGGAGAGAGAAGAAAAAGCAGAGGAUGAGAAGGAUCGUAAUCAGUGGAUGACAGCAGAUCACAUCUACCUGGAAAUGGAAAAAGCCAAGAAACAAAAACAACGUGAUGCGAGCAUUGAAGUACAGAAAAUUCAGAUGCAACAAAUGGCUGAAAAGCAGGCAAAAAAACAGCAGGAAAAGCAAGCAGACUUGGACUAUGAUGCUCAGAGAGAAGCUGCUUUUCGUAAGGAUCGAGCAUUUCAGAGAUAAAGACAUGCUCCUUUUACUACUUCAAGCUUUUUUCAGCAAGCAGAAAGAAUGGAAGCUUUUAAUAAAGCCCUUUGAUCACAGAAGCCAGAGCCUUGCGAAGAAGAAUUGUCUAUAGCAGGAGUGGUGCUGAAAUCUGCAGAGCUUGAUAAUGCUCCAGAUGCAUCCCUAACUGCCUAUUUGCACAUGCUCACUACCAUGAAAUUGGUGAGUUAAAUAGGUUUUAGUCUACCUCCACAGCAACAAGAAGCAAGGUGGAUUGCAGCCUCACUUCCAACUCAGCUUCAGGAAAUGCACUGUUCUGCAGAUCAUGUAUGUCUGUAUCUGAAGUCUACAGCCUGUUUCCUUGGGGCUUAUACCCCUUUUACUUUGAAUGUCUACAAAAAUACCAAAUUCAAAUACCAGAAAACAAAUCUUCCUUUCAGUACACCUAGAGCAAAGUAGGAAUCCUGUGUAAUUUUAAAGCACACUUGCUAAAUAUGGAUUUAGUUUGGAAUAGUGAUGUCACUUCAUUCCAUUGACUGAGAUGUGCAUGCUUUGUGUGUUUGCUCUGUAAAACCAGGCAAAAACCUCAACCUCAAGUGUUUUAAGAACAUGAAGAAAUACUUAAGGUUCUAAAACUUUCAGUGACAAAGCAUUUUGGUAACAUUUCAUUAUCUUUUACAGUUGUCCUACACGAAAGGCAAGAAGGGAAAGCUGCUUGAAGGAAUAAUACAAAAGAAUAAUAUCAGUUUGUUUAUGAAAUACAUCUGACAACUACAGAAGUAUCCACUAAGGAAUAAGAAGCUAGCCACUGUCUCCUUACAAGUUACACGUGCCUGUGGAACACAGCUGACGCCAGCUCUGGAGCAAGCUACAAGCCAUGCUGUUUGCCAGAGCCUGCCUAUGCUCAGCUUCAGCUCAAGAAGCAAGUACCGUAGCUACAGCCAUAGCUUGCAGAUGGAUGUGUUACUAGUUUUAUUAUGGAACAAAGCAGUAGAUUCACCUUCUAGGAAGUCAAGAGGUAACAACCACACGGCAACUGUCAAUUAAUCUGUACUGUACUCCUCAAGUAUUGCUGGACCUCCAGGCUUAACUAAAAGCUUAAGUUUUGGCUUAAAAAAAUUUCUUACUGAGCAAAUAAUAAAAUUGAGCAAGCUGUUUAAAAACA